RNAcentral lists this ribosomal RNA (143 nucleotides) under uncultured eukaryote. RNAcentral's name for it is "partial 18S ribosomal RNA". It matches the Rfam family "Eukaryotic small subunit ribosomal RNA", at positions 1299 to 1458 of the family's 1831-position model. The record is from RNAcentral.
UGGUGGAGUGAUUUGUCUGGUUAAUUCCGUUAACGAACGAGACCUCAGCCUGCUAAGUAGCUACUCGGUGCUCCAAGUUACUGAGGCCAGCUUCUUAGAGGGACUAUCGGCGUUUAGCCGGCAGGAAGUCUGAGGCAAUAACA